Molecule: long non-coding RNA, 205 nt
Filed under: Elaeis guineensis (African oil palm)
Lineage: Eukaryota; Viridiplantae; Streptophyta; Magnoliopsida; Arecales; Arecaceae
Description: long non-coding RNA (EGUI_LNC018373)
Source: RNAcentral
ACUAAAUUAGAGUAAUUGAUCAAAUCUAAUCAAAAGUUGAUUUAGAUUAGGUCAAGGAUACUCUAUACUCAACUCCAAUAGUUGUAGUUGAAUGGGUCCAUAUCUUUAACUAGACCAAGAUGGACUUAAUUCAUGGCUAUGCGGUGGAACCCUAUUUACUAAGUUGAUCAAAUUAAAACUAAUGAACCGGUUGGUGUCUAAGGUA